GGGUCAGUAGGUUGGUCGUGCCACCGGUACGUACUGGUCUCACUGAUUCCUCCUUCCUGAAGAACCGUAAUGCCAUUAAUUUGGUGUUGCGGGGAAACAGGACUGUUACUUUGAAAAAAUUAGAGUGUUUAAAGCAAGCUAACGCUUGAGUACAUUAUCAUGGAAUAAUGAAAUAGGACGAUCGAUCCUAUUUUGUUGGUUUCUAGGAUUGACGUA
This 216-nucleotide ribosomal RNA is filed under the name Glomeromycotina sp. RNAcentral's name for it is "partial small subunit ribosomal RNA". The stretch from base 40 to 216 matches the Rfam family "Eukaryotic small subunit ribosomal RNA", at positions 686 to 864 of the family's 1831-position model. Lineage: Eukaryota; Fungi; Glomeromycota. The record is from RNAcentral.